AAGUCGUAACAAGGUCUUCGUAGGUGAACCUGCGGAGGGAUCAUUAAUAAUUUAUGGGGCUUACUACUUGUGCAAACGAGUGACCCACUUAUUACCACACACACUUGUGAACCUUUCCUUUCUUUGACUUUACUGUCAAAGGAUUGAAAACUCUUGUGAUUUAAAACAGUCUAGGAUGUCAAUCCAAUUAUAAAAAUUAAAACAACUAUAAACGGUGGAUCUCUUGGCUCUC
Molecule: unclassified non-coding RNA, 232 nt
Filed under: Pseudobensingtonia musae
Lineage: Eukaryota; Fungi; Basidiomycota; Agaricostilbomycetes; Agaricostilbales; Agaricostilbaceae
Description: partial internal transcribed spacer region
Rfam family: Eukaryotic small subunit ribosomal RNA (bases 1-46)
Source: RNAcentral